RNAcentral lists this ribosomal RNA (796 nucleotides) under uncultured bacterium. RNAcentral describes it as "bacterial SSU rRNA". It matches the Rfam family "Bacterial small subunit ribosomal RNA", at positions 8 to 796 of the family's 1533-position model. The record is from RNAcentral.
AGAGUUUGAUCAUGGCUCAGGAUGAACGCUAGCGGCAGGCUUAAUACAUGCAAGUCGAGGGGCAGCGGGGGUAGCAAUACCUGCCGGCGACCGGCAAACGGGUGCGCAACACGUACACAACCUUCCUGAGAGAGGGGGAUAGCCCAGAGAAAUUUGGAUUAAUACCCCGUAAGAUUGUUUGGUGGCAUCACCGAACAAAUAAAGGCCAGCAAUGGUUGCUCUUAGAUGGGUGUGCGUCUGAUUAGGUAGUUGGUUGAGGUAAAGGCUCACCAAGCCUUCGAUCAGUAACUGGUGUGAGAGCACGACCAGUCACACGGGCACUGAGACACGGGCCCGACUCCUACGGGAGGCAGCAGUAAGGAAUAUUGGUCAAUGGACGCAAGUCUGAACCAGCCAUGCCGCGUGAAGGAUGAAGGUCCUCUGGAUUGUAAACUUCUUUUAUCUGUGAAGAAAGGCACUUAUUCUUAGGUGUUUGACGGUAACAGAGGAAUAAGCACCGGCUAACUCCGUGCCAGCAGCCGCGGUAAUACGGAGGGUGCAAGCGUUAUCCGGAUUCACUGGGUUUAAAGGGUGCGUAGGCGGGCGAGUAAGUCAGUGGUGAAAUCUCCAGGCUUAACCUGGAAACUGCCAUUGAUACUAUUUGUCUUGAAUAACGUGGAGGUGAGCGGAAUAUGUCAUGUAGCGGUGAAAUGCUUAGAUAUGACAUAGAACACCAAUUGCGAAGGCAGCUCACUACACGUUCAUUGACGCUGAGGACGAAAGCGUGGGCAAACAGGAUUAGAUACCCUAGUAGUCC